This 227-nucleotide ribosomal RNA is filed under the name uncultured bacterium. RNAcentral describes it as "partial 16S ribosomal RNA". It matches the Rfam family "Bacterial small subunit ribosomal RNA", at positions 113 to 334 of the family's 1533-position model. The record is from RNAcentral.
CAACGUGGGUAACCUGCCCUGAUGAUUGGGACAACCCGAGGAAACUCGGGCUAAUACCAAAUGUGCCCCCUGGCCUCAAGGCCUCUGGGGAAAGGAAGCUUCGGCCUCCGCAUCGGGAUGGGCCCGCGGCCCAUUAGCUUGUUGGUGAGGUAAUGGCUCACCAAGGCUACGAUGGGUAGCUGGUCUGAGAGGACGAUCAGCCACACUGGGACUGAGACACGGCCCAG